AGAACGAACGCUGGCGGCGUGUUUAAGGCAUGCAAGUCGCACGGAAUCAUUUGAGUAGUAAUACGAUAAUGGUUCAGUGGCGCACGGGUGAGUAACACGUGAAUUACAUGCCCUAUAGUGGGGAAUAGCCCAGGGAAACUUGGAUUAAUACCCCAUAGUCUCGCAAGAGUAAAGGUGGCCGCAAGGCUGUCGCUAUAGGAUUGGUUCGCGCCCUAUCAGCUUGUUGGUGAGGUAACGGCUCACCGAAGGCUA
RNAcentral lists this ribosomal RNA (252 nucleotides) under uncultured soil bacterium. RNAcentral's name for it is "partial 16S ribosomal RNA". It matches the Rfam family "Bacterial small subunit ribosomal RNA", at positions 26 to 276 of the family's 1533-position model. The record is from RNAcentral.